This 72-nucleotide transfer RNA is filed under the name Hordeum vulgare. Its description in RNAcentral is "tRNA-Ala". It matches the Rfam family "tRNA". From Rfam's summary of the family: Transfer RNA (tRNA) molecules are approximately 80 nucleotides in length. Lineage: Eukaryota; Viridiplantae; Streptophyta; Magnoliopsida; Poales; Poaceae. RNAcentral also lists the same sequence under 1 other name. The record is from RNAcentral.
AGGGAUGAAGCUCAGAUUGUAGAGCGCUUGCUUAGCAUGCAAGAGGUACGGGAUCGACACCCUACAUCUCUA